CACCUGCUGCUGACUGCUUCUCUCAGGAAGGUUUUCAUAAAGAAAAGGCUGUCUUCACCUAGAAAGACACUCUGGAAUCUUCUGGGUCUGCAGUUUCCAGAUUAAGGAUGGGGGUAAAGUGAAAUGUGGAAAUAUGGUCCUCACCUUGGAGUUCACAGAUAUUGUUGCCUGGAUGGCACCUGGAAUCCUCUUCCCUCUCCAGCUCCCAACGCAGCUUCAGGCUCUGACAUCAGCUCUCUGCAGACGAAGCCUGGACACGCUGCUAACAACCCACGUGAUGGAAAUGCAUCAAGCCAUACAUGGCCAUACACAGGUCCUGCUUCCAUGUCUGUGACAGACAGAAUAAUGGCUUCCCCAAAGAUGUCGCAUCAUAAUCCCGGGAACCUGUGAAUAUGCUACCUUAUGUGACAGAAGGGAAUUUGCAUUAAGGUUAAAAUUAAGGACCUUGGGAUGCGGAGAUUAUCCUGAAUUAUCCAGGUGGACCCAAUCUAACCUUAUGAAUCCUUUAAAAGUGUAAGAAAACAGGAAAAUAGAUAGAGAAAUUAUCUAUUUGACUCUAGAAAAAUUCAACCCACCAUUGAUGGCUCUGAAGGUAGAGAAAGGAGGCCAUGAGCCAGGGAGAGCGGCAGCCUCUAGAAGCUGGGAACCAUCUUCAGUUUACAUCCAGUAAGAAAACAUGGACCUUAGUCUACAACUGCAAGGAACUGAACUCUGCCAAUCGAUACAGAUGAGCAGGAAAUGGAUUCUCCUUUCUAACCUCCAAAAAGGAAAACAGCCUUUCAGCAUUUUGAUUUUUAGUCUGGUGAGACCAUAUCAAACU
Long non-coding RNA from Hipposideros armiger (great roundleaf bat), 820 nucleotides. RefSeq lists it as uncharacterized. NCBI's taxonomy places the organism in Eukaryota, Metazoa, Chordata, Mammalia, Chiroptera, Hipposideridae. The record is from RefSeq and is a predicted model, not a curated record. The transcript has 3 exons.